AGGACUGAUCGGAUGAUAACUUCUGGGUUUAUUUUCACCAAUGGAACCCCACAGUCAAGGCUCCAGGGUCAGUGUCCAGACCAAGAUCCCCUGAGGCCUGCUCAAGCUGACAUGUUUUGUCAAAACGCCAUGGUCAGAGCAACCUAUGGAAGGAGGAGGCUUUUGGAGCUUAAGAUUCCAGAAGAACAAGAGAGCCCACGAUGGCAGAGGAGAGGCCAGGCAACAAGCAGCAGUACCACCAACUGAGAACCAGGCCUUCAAACCCUGAGACGGUGAGGAACAUCUUCAGUCAGCCCAGCACACUUGACUUCCGGUUCUUCGCUUUUUUAAAUUAAAUUGCUUGAUGAUAUUUCUCAAAGUUGCCAUAGAAAGCAGGGGCUUUCUUAGUUAUUCAAAAU
RNAcentral lists this long non-coding RNA (398 nucleotides) under Mus spicilegus (steppe mouse). RNAcentral's name for it is "lncRNA (ENSMSIG00000028326.1)". Lineage: Eukaryota; Metazoa; Chordata; Mammalia; Rodentia; Muridae. The record is from RNAcentral.